GACGAACGCUGGCGGCGUGCUUAGCGCAUGCAAGUCGAACGGAAAGGCCCUGCUUUUGUGGGGUGCUCGAGUGGCGAACGGGUGAGUAACACGUGAGUAACCUGCCCUUGACUUUGGGAUAACUUCAGGAAACUGGGGCUAAUACCGGAUAGGAGCUCCUGCUGCAUGGUGGGGGUUGGAAAGUUUCGGCGGUUGGGGAUGGACUCGCGGCUUAUCAGCUUGUUGGUGGGGUAGUGGCUUACCAAGGCUUUGACGGGUAGCCGGCCUGAGAGGGUGACCGGCCACAUUGGGACUGAGAUACGGCCCAGACUCCUACGGGAGGCAGCAGUGGGGAAUAUUGCACAAUGGGCGGAAGCCUGAUGCAGCAACGCCGCGUGCGGGAUGACGGCCUUCGGGUUGUAAACCGCUUUCGCCUGUGACGAAGCGUGAGUGACGGUAAUGGGUAAAGAAGCACCGGCUAACUACGUGCCAGCAGCCGCGGUGAUACGUAGGGUGCGAGCGUUGUCCGGAUUUAUUGGGCGUAAAGGGCUCGUAGGUGGUUGAUCGCGUCGGAAGUGUAAUCUUGGGGCUUAACCCUGAGCGUGCUUUCGAUACGGGUUGACUUGAGGAAGGUAGGGGAGAAUGGAAUUCCUGGUGGAGCGGUGGAAUGCGCAGAUAUCAGGAGGAACACCAGUGGCGAAGGCGGUUCUCUGGGCCUUUCCUGACGCUGAGGAGCGAAAGCGUGGGGAGCGAACAGGCUUAGAUACCCUGGUAGUCCACGCUGUAAACGGUGGGUACUAGGUGUGGGGUCCAUUCCACGGGUUCCGUGCCGUAGCUAACGCUUUAAGUACCCCGCCUGGGGAGUACGGCCGCAAGGCUAAAACUCAAAGGAAUUGACGGGGCCCCGCACAAGCGGCGGAGCAUGCGGAUUAAUUCGAUGCAACGCGUAGAACCUUACCUGGGUUUGACAUGGAUCGGGAGCGCUCAGAGAUGGGUGUGCCUCUUUUGGGGUCGGUUCACAGGUGGUGCAUGGCUGUCGUCAGCUCGUGUCGUGAGAUGUUGGGUUAAGUCCCGCAACGAGCGCAACCCUUGUUCACUGUUGCCAGCACGUUAUGGUGGGGACUCAGUGGAGACCGCCGGGGUCAACUCGGAGGAAGGUGGGGAUGACGUCAAGUCAUCAUGCCCCUUAUGUCCAGGGCUUCACGCAUGCUACAAUGGCUGGUACAGAGAGUGGCGAGCCUGUGAGGGUGAGCGAAUCUCGGAAAGCCGGUCUCAGUUCGGAUUGGGGUCUGCAACUCGACCUCAUGAAGUCGGAGUCGCUAGUAAUCGCAGAUCAGCAACGCUGCGGUGAAUACGUUCCCGGG
This 1343-nucleotide ribosomal RNA is filed under the name uncultured bacterium. RNAcentral describes it as "16S ribosomal RNA". It matches the Rfam family "Bacterial small subunit ribosomal RNA", at positions 28 to 1378 of the family's 1533-position model. The record is from RNAcentral.